GUGGGCAAUCUGCCCUUCACUCUGGGACAAGCCCUGGAAACGGGGUCUAAUACCGGAUACGACUGCGGGAGGCAUCUCCUGUGGUGGAAAGCUCCGGCGGUGAAGGAUGAGCCCGCGGCCUAUCAGCUUGUUGGUGGGGUAAUGGCCCACCAAGGCGACGACGGGUAGCCGGCCUGAGAGGGCGACCGGCCACACUGGGACUGAGACACGGCCCAGACUCCUACGGGAGGCAGCAGUGGGGAAUAUUGCACAAUGGGCGAAAGCCUGAUGCAKCGACGCCGCGUGAGGGAUGACGGCCUUCGGGUUGUAAACCUCUUUC
This 319-nucleotide ribosomal RNA is filed under the name Actinomycetales bacterium TLI198. RNAcentral describes it as "bacterial SSU rRNA". It matches the Rfam family "Bacterial small subunit ribosomal RNA", at positions 117 to 437 of the family's 1533-position model. The record is from RNAcentral. Lineage: Bacteria; Bacillati; Actinomycetota; Actinomycetes; Actinomycetales.